Molecule: ribosomal RNA, 265 nt
Filed under: uncultured archaeon
Lineage: Archaea
Description: partial 16S ribosomal RNA
Rfam family: Archaeal small subunit ribosomal RNA
Source: RNAcentral
AGACGUCUACAUUAGAUACCCGCGUAGUCCCAGCCGUAAACUAUGCGCGUUAGGUGUAUCGGUGACCACGAGUUACCGAGGUGCCGAAGGGAAACCGUGAAACGUGCCGCCUGGGAAGUACGGUCGCAAGGCCGAAACUUAAAGGAAUUGGCGGGGGAGCACCACAACAGGUGGAGCCUGCGGUUUAAUUGGACUCAACGCCGGGAAGCUCACCGGAUAAGACAGCGGAAUGAUUGCCGGGCUGAAGACUCUGCUAGAUUUUCAG